Molecule: unclassified non-coding RNA, 235 nt
Filed under: fungal sp.
Lineage: Eukaryota; Fungi
Also listed under: 1 other name
Description: partial internal transcribed spacer region
Rfam family: Eukaryotic small subunit ribosomal RNA (bases 1-46)
Source: RNAcentral
AAGUCGUAACAAGGUAACCGUAGGUGAACCUGCGGUUGGAUCAUUAACAAAUGAUAGGUUCUAGGUUCGAGGGUCUUUGUGAUUCUCGCCUAGGACUUUAAACCUCUGUGCACUGUACUGUCUUUGGGUGUUUCUCUAUUUGAGAUCGCCCGACUGUCUAUACAAACCUAUUAAAUUGACUGACCUUUCUAAGAGAAAUUAGAGAUAACUUUUAACAACGGAUCUCUUGGCUCUC